Molecule: small nuclear RNA, 107 nt
Organism: Otolemur garnettii (small-eared galago)
Lineage: Eukaryota; Metazoa; Chordata; Mammalia; Primates; Galagidae
Source: Ensembl
GUGCUCGCUUCAGCGGCAUGUAUACUAAAAUUGGAACGAUACAGAGAAGAUUAGCAUGGCCCCUGCACAAGGAUGACACGCAAAUUAGUGAAGCAUUCCAUAUUUAA